RNAcentral lists this ribosomal RNA (253 nucleotides) under uncultured bacterium. RNAcentral describes it as "partial 16S ribosomal RNA". It matches the Rfam family "Bacterial small subunit ribosomal RNA", at positions 524 to 776 of the family's 1533-position model. The record is from RNAcentral.
UACGUAGGGUGCAAGCGUUAAUCGGAAUUACUGGGCGUAAAGCGUGCGCAGGCGGUUUCGUAAGUCUGUCGUGAAAUCCCCGGGCUUAACCUGGGAACUGCAUCCGAUACUGGAUGGCUUGAAUCCGGGAGAGGGAUGCAGAAUUCCAGGUGUAGCGGUGAAAUGCGUAGAUAUCUGGAGGAAUACCGGUGGCGAAGGCGGCAUCCUGGACCGGCAUUGACGCUGAGGAGCGAAAGCUAGGGGAGCAAACGGG